UAACACGUAGGGAACCUGCCCGCGCACCGGGAAUACGCUCUGGAAACGGAGAACAAAUCCCGAUGUACAGGAAGGAGGCAUCUUCUUUCUGUGAAACAUCCUUUCGGGGAUGGGGCGCGGAUGGACCUGCGGUGCAUUAGUUGGUUGGCGGGGUAAAGGCCCACCAAGACGAUGAUGCAUAGCCGGCCUGAGAGGGCGGACGGCCACAUUGGGACUGAGACACGGCCCAGACUCCUGCGGGAGGCAGCAGUAGGGAAUUUUCGUCAAUGGGCGCAAGCCUGAACGAGCGAUGCCGCGUGAGUGAAGAAGGCCUUCGGGUCGUAAAGCUCUGUUGCGGGGGAAAAAAGGCAGCAUCAGGAAAUGGGUGCUGACUGAUGGUGCCCCGCCAGAAAGUCACGGCUAACUACGUGCCAGCAGCCGCGGUAAUACGUAGGUGGCGAGCGUUAUCCGGAAUGAUUGGGCGUAAAGGGUGCGCAGGCGGUCCUGCAAGUCUGGAGUGAAACGCAUGAGCUCAACUCAUGCAUGGCUUUGGAAACUGGAGGACUGGAGAGCAGGAGAGGGCGGUGGAACUCCAUGUGUAGCGGUAAAAUGCGUAGAUAUAUGGAAGAACACCAGUGGCGAAGGCGGCCGCCUGGCCUGUUGCUGACGCUGAGGCACGAAAGCGUGAGGAGCAAAUAGGAUUAGAUACCCUAGUAGUCCACGCCGUAAACGAUGAGGACCAAGUGU
RNAcentral lists this ribosomal RNA (726 nucleotides) under uncultured bacterium. Its description in RNAcentral is "bacterial SSU rRNA". It matches the Rfam family "Bacterial small subunit ribosomal RNA", at positions 111 to 823 of the family's 1533-position model. The record is from RNAcentral.